UUAAAUUCCAUAUUUUACUAAAUAUAUUUUACAAAAUAACACUGUAUAUAGUUAUCAGCUACUAUAUUUCUGUGAUUGGUAUGCUAUUUUAAGUGUUGUGCUGAUGGUUUUUUUUUUGUUUACACAUGUCCUACUGUGGAUUCAUUAUUAUUCGUUGGAUACAAAUUUACGUGGAUUUUGUAGGUAAAGGUGAACACUGGUGAACCACGAAAUUAAAUGUUUAACUAAUGACAAAUGUCCAAAGGCUUGUAUAAAUACUUUGUCAUAACUACCAAAUGAAUGUCCACGAACAUCCGUGUUUUCCUACAUCCACGGAAAUUGGUGUCCACGAAAAUGAAUGAAUCCACAG
This 349-nucleotide long non-coding RNA is filed under the name Mytilus galloprovincialis (Mediterranean mussel). The record is from RNAcentral. Lineage: Eukaryota; Metazoa; Mollusca; Bivalvia; Mytilida; Mytilidae.